GAUGAACGCUGGCGGCGUGCCUAAUACAUGCAAGUCGAGCGAACGGACGAGAAGCUUGCUUCUCUGAUGUUAGCGGCGGACGGGUGAGUAACACGUGGAUAACCUACCUAUAAGACUGGGAUAACUUCGGGAAACCGUAGCUAAUACCGGAUAAUAUUUUGAACCGCAUGGUUCAAAAGUGAAAGACGGUCUUGCUGUCACUUAUAGAUGGAUCCGCGCUGCAUUAGCUAGUUGGUAAGGUAACGGCUUACCAAGGCAACGAUGCAUAGCCGACCUGAGAGGGUGAUCGGCCACACUGGAACUGAGACACGGUCCAGACUCCUACGGGAGGCAGCAGUAGGGAAUCUUCCGCAAUGGGCGAAAGCCUGACGGAGCAACGCCGCGUGAGUGAUGAAGGUCUUCGGAUCGUAAAACUCUGUUAUUAGGGAAGAACAUAUGUGUAAGUAACUGUGCACAUCUUGACGGGACCUAAUCAGAAAGCCACGGCUAACUACGUG
RNAcentral lists this ribosomal RNA (497 nucleotides) under uncultured bacterium. RNAcentral describes it as "partial 16S ribosomal RNA". It matches the Rfam family "Bacterial small subunit ribosomal RNA", at positions 28 to 507 of the family's 1533-position model. The record is from RNAcentral.